This 65-nucleotide transfer RNA is filed under the name Gabronthus thermarum. RNAcentral describes it as "tRNA-Asn". The record is from RNAcentral. Lineage: Eukaryota; Metazoa; Arthropoda; Insecta; Coleoptera; Staphylinidae.
UUAAUUGAAACCAAAGUAGAGGUAAAUCACUGUUAAUGAUUAAAAUGGGCUAUCCCCCAAUUAAA